AGCAUAUCAAUAAGCGGAGGAAAAGAAACUAACAAGGAUUCCCCUAGUAACUGCGAGUGAAGCGGGAAAAGCUCAAAUUUAAAAUCUGGCGGUCUUUGGCCGUCCGAGUUGUAGUCUGGAGAAGUGCUUUCCGCGCUGGACCGUGUAUAAGUCUCUUGGAACAGAGCGUCAUAGAGGGUGAGAAUCCCGUCUUUGACACGGACUACCAGUGCUUUGUGAUGCGCUCUCAAAGAGUCGAGUUGUUUGGGAAUGCAGCUCAAAAUGGGUGGUGAAUUCCAUCUAAAGCUAAAUAUUGGCGAGAGACCGAUAGCGAACAAGUACCGUGAGGGAAAGAUGAAAAGCACUUUGGAAAGAGAGUUAAACAGUACGUGAAAUUGCUGAAAGGGAAACGCUUGAAGUCAGUCGCGUUUGCCGGAACUCAGCCUUCCUUUUGGUUGGUGCACUUUCCGGUAGACGGGCCAGCAUCGAUUUCGACCGUCGGAUAAGGGCUGGGGAAAUGUGGCACCUUUCGGGGUGUGUUAUAGUCCUCAGUCGCAUACGUCGGUUGGGAUCGAGGAUCGCAGCGCGCCGCAAGGCAGGGGUUCGCCCACUUUCGCGCUUAGGAUGCUGGCAUAAUGGCUUUAAACGACCCGUCUUGAAACACGGACCAAGGAGUCUAACAAACCUGCGAGUGUUUGGGUGGAAAACCCGAGCGCGUAAUGAAAGUGAAAGUUGAGACCUCUGUCGUGGAGGGCAUCGACGCCCGGACCUGAAGUUCUCUGACGGUUCCGCGGUAGAGCAUGUUUGUUGGGACCCGAAAGAUGGUGAACUAUGCCUGAAUAGGGUGAAGCCAGAGGAAACUCUGGUGGAGGCUCGUAGCGAUUCUGACGUGCAAAUCGAUCGUCAAAUUUGGGUAUAGGGGCGAAAGACUAAUCGAACCAUCUAGUAGCUGGUUCCUGCCGAGUCUCCC
This 949-nucleotide ribosomal RNA is filed under the name Lentinus sp. Its description in RNAcentral is "partial large subunit ribosomal RNA". It matches the Rfam family "Eukaryotic large subunit ribosomal RNA", at positions 37 to 972 of the family's 3401-position model. Lineage: Eukaryota; Fungi; Basidiomycota; Agaricomycetes; Polyporales; Polyporaceae. The record is from RNAcentral.